GAUGAACGCUGGCGGCGUGCCUAAUACAUGCAAGUCGAGCGAACGGACGAGAAGCUUGCUUCUCUGAUGUUAGCGGCGGACGGGUGAGUAACACGUGGAUAACCUACCUAUAAGACUGGGAUAACUUCGGGAAACCGGAGCUAAUACCGGAUGAUAUUUUGAACCGCAUGGUUCAAAAGUGAAAGACGGUCUUGCUGUCACUUAUAGAUGGAUCCGCGCUGCAUUAGCUAGUUGGUAAGGUAACGGCUUACCAAGGCAACGAUGCAUAGCCGACCUGAGAGGGUGAUCGGCCACACUGGAGCUGAGACACGGUCCAGACUCCUACGGGAGGCAGCAGUAGGGAAUCUUCCGCAAUGGGCGAAAGCCUGACGGAGCAACGCCGAGUGAGUGAUGAAGGUCUUCGGAUCGUAAAACUCUGUUAUUAGGGAAGAACAUAUGUGUAAGUAACUGUGCACAUCUUGACGGUACCUAAUCAGAAAGCCACGGCUAACUACGUG
This 497-nucleotide ribosomal RNA is filed under the name uncultured bacterium. RNAcentral's name for it is "partial 16S ribosomal RNA". It matches the Rfam family "Bacterial small subunit ribosomal RNA", at positions 28 to 507 of the family's 1533-position model. The record is from RNAcentral.